AGCGAACGCUGGCGGCAGGCUUAACACAUGCAAGUCGAGCGGGCGUAGCAAUACGUCAGCGGCAGACGGGUGAGUAACGCGUGGGAACGUACCUUUUGGUUCGGAACAACCCAGGGAAACUUGGGCUAAAUACCGGAUAAGCCCUUACGGGGAAAGAUUUAUCGCCAAAAGAUCGGCCCGCGUCUGAUUAGCUUGUUGGUGAGGUAACGGCUCACCAAGGCGACGAUCAGUAGCUGGUCUGAGAGGAUGAUCAGCCACAUUGGGACUGAGACACGGCCCAAACUCCUACGGGAGGCAGCAGUGGGGAAUAUUGGACAAUGGGCGCAAGCCUGAUCCAGCCAUGCCGCGUGAGUGAUGAAGGCCCUAGGGUUGUAAAGCUCUUUUGUGCGGGAAGAUAAUGACUGUACCGCAAGAAUAAGCCCCGGCUAACUUUGUGCCAGCAGCCGCGGUAAC
Molecule: ribosomal RNA, 453 nt
Filed under: uncultured bacterium
Lineage: Bacteria
Description: bacterial SSU rRNA
Rfam family: Bacterial small subunit ribosomal RNA
Source: RNAcentral